Molecule: ribosomal RNA, 484 nt
Filed under: uncultured bacterium
Lineage: Bacteria
Description: SSU rRNA
Rfam family: Bacterial small subunit ribosomal RNA
Source: RNAcentral
AGGACGAACGCUGGCGGCGUGCCUAACACAUGCAAGUGGAGCGACGAACCAGGCUUCGGCCUGGGGCAAAGCCGCGAACGGGUGAGUAACACGUGGGUAACCUGCCUCGAUGAUUGGGACAACCCGAGGAAACUCGGGCUAAUACCGAAUGUGCCCUCCGGCCAUAAGGCUGCUGGGGAAGGAAGCUUCGGCCUCCGCAUCGAGAUGGGCCCGCGGCCUAUCAGCUUGUUGGUGAGGUAACGGCUCACCAAGGCGACGACGGGUAGCCGGCCUGAGAGGGCGACCGGCCACGACUGGGACUGAGACACGGCCCAGACUCCUACGGGAGGCAGCAGUGGGGAAUAUUGCGCAAUGGGCGAAAGCCUGACGCAGCGACGCCGCGUGGGGAUGAAGGCCUUCGGGUUGUAAACCCUUUCAGCAGGGACGAAGCGAAAGUGACGGUACCUGCAGAAGAAGCGCCGGCUAACUACGUGCCAGCAGCCGC